UCUUCUCUUUUCCUUUUGAUAUUUCUCACAUUUUUAUAGUUUAGCACAUUUAUGGUAGAAAAUUCAUAUCUUGUAAUAGAAACAUCAAAAUGAUUAAUGGUUUAAUUUUAUGGAAACUAGAGUUCACGAUAUAUAGAAUUACUUUUCUAAACAUCAUUCUAGAAAUCUUUUUGAACGAAACAAGAUGAGAGACCCCAGUACUGAUUUAUCAUCUUUAAAUUUCCACUUUAUAUGUUAUUUUCACGAGGAUUAGGGUGUCGUCGGCUCCAAUCUUGUUCGUUCUCUCCAUAUCAUUUUCUGCCACUGCAGUCCCUCUUUCUCACGGGCUUGAAUUUGAUGCUGUUGUCUCAACCACUAGACUGACACACAACACUGCCGCCUCCGCGCUCUCUGCCAUAUUACACUAUUCUGAUCUUCGUGUAGUGUACUGCAUAAAUGUAAGGAGGAUAAGUGUAACACCCCGUAUUCAAGUACGUGUAUUGGCGUAUUCAAAUAAGUAAUUCGAAAAGACGGGAAGUCCAUUUGGGACUAGUAUUGAAGGUUGACAGUCAGGCACAGGUACCUCAGCUCAUACACCGCAUAAGUAGGAGCCAGGAUAUCCAGCUGCUUUUGGUGAGCUCCAGUUUGCUUCGGAGCUUUUCGUGUCAUAUCCAGUCACUUUUGGUAUUGUAUAGAAGUUAGUUAUAUGGCGGGGUGUGUCCCGACCUUAGUUAAACUCUGUGUAUUGUCUAGAGGCUUUGUAGACCUAAUGUACAGUCAAAGUGGUGUUUUGUUAAUAGAUGUGAUGGCUUGAAUGGCCAAGUAUUGUAUAUACAUAUAUAUGUGUGCUCGACCUUAUACAGGUGAUUAUUUCCUUUUAUAUGCGAUAUGAUGCUGUCCGAAUUUUGGGUUGUUAUAGAGGUAUGCAUGGGAAGUAUAAGGUUAUGAGCUGGUUCUCCUGGGCCUCCUCGGUUAUGGGUGUCGGUCCGCCCCAAUAAGAUUUGAGGCAUAACAAUAAGUUUAUCUAAAAAAUGAUAGUGUGAAGGUUUGCUGAUACGCCGCUCAAUAAAUUUUUGAUAAUUGCUAACACGUUACCAAACCAACCGAUAUCUUAUUAGUCAACUAGCGGAUUAGUACAUUUAAAAACCACUAUACAAUAAUCCAAACUAUUUAAUAUGAUUAUCCAUCCGGUCCACCUGAUAAGUAACCCAAUAGUUUAGGGCCAUUUUAAUUCCACAUUGGUUGGAAAUGGGCUAGCGGUUUGCUUAUAUGGACUUGCACAAUUCUCCCCUCAUGAGAUAGAUUUUGGGG
Molecule: RNA transcript, 1290 nt
Organism: Capsicum annuum
Lineage: Eukaryota; Viridiplantae; Streptophyta; Magnoliopsida; Solanales; Solanaceae
Exons: 4
Source: RefSeq, a predicted model, not a curated record